AGCUCUUUCACACACGACGAUSAUGACGGUAGUGGGAGAAGAAGCCCCGGCUAACUUCGUGCCAGCAGCCGCGGUAAUACGAAGGGGGCUAGCGUUGUUCGGAAUUACUGGGCGUAAAGCGCACGCAGGCGGUUCGGUCAGUCAGAAGUGAAAGCCCCGGGCUUAACCUGGGAACUGCUUUUGAUACUGCCGAGCUUGAAUCACGGAGAGGGUAGUGGAAUUCCGAGUGUAGCGGUGAAAUUCGUAGAUAUUCGGAAGAACACCAGUGGCGAAGGCGACUACCUGGCCGUCGAUUGACGCUCAUGCGCGAAAGCGUGGGGAGCAAACAGGAUUAGAUACCCUGGUAGUCCACGCCGUAAACG
Molecule: ribosomal RNA, 362 nt
Filed under: uncultured bacterium
Lineage: Bacteria
Description: bacterial SSU rRNA
Rfam family: Bacterial small subunit ribosomal RNA
Source: RNAcentral